Molecule: ribosomal RNA, 253 nt
Filed under: uncultured bacterium
Lineage: Bacteria
Description: partial 16S ribosomal RNA
Rfam family: Bacterial small subunit ribosomal RNA
Source: RNAcentral
UACGUAGGUGGCAAGCGUUAUCCGGAAUUACUGGGUGUAAAGGGCGUGUAGGCGGGGAUGUAAGUCAGAUGUGAAAUUCCACUGCUCAACGGUGGCGCUGCAUCUGAAACUAUAUCUCUUGAGUACUGGAGAGGGAAGUGGAAUUCCUAGUGUAGCGGUGAAAUGCGUAGAUAUUAGGAGGAACACCAGUGGCGAAGGCGGCUUUCUGGACAGUAACUGACGCUGAGGCGCGAAAGCGUGGGGAGCAAACAGG